GUAUAGGUUGGUGCAAAAGUAAUUGCGGUUUCUGCCAUUUAAAAGUAAUCGCAAAAACUGCAAUCACUUUUGCACCAACCUAAUA
Macaca nemestrina (pig-tailed macaque) is the source of this 85-nucleotide microRNA precursor. The record is from Ensembl. NCBI's taxonomy places the organism in Eukaryota, Metazoa, Chordata, Mammalia, Primates, Cercopithecidae.